ACUCCUACGGGAGGCAGCAGUAGGGAAUCCUCCACAAUGGGCGCAAGCCUGAUGGAGCAACACCGCGUGAGUGAAGAAGGGUUUCGGCUCGUAAAGCUCUGUUGUUAAAGAAGAACACGUAUGAGAGUAACUGUUCAUACGUUGACGGUAUUUAACCAGAAAGUCACGGCUAACUACGUGCCAGCAGCCGCGGUAAUACGUAGGUGGCAAGCGUUAUCCGGAUUUAUUGGGCGUAAAGAGAGUGCAGGCGGUUUUCUAAGUCUGAUGUGAAAGCCUUCGGCUUAACCGGAGAAGUGCAUCGGAAACUGGAUAACUUGAGUGCAGAAGAGGUAGUGGAACUCCAUGUGUAGCGGUGGAAUGCGUAGAUAUAUGGAAGAACACCAGUGGCGAAGGCGGCUACCUGGUCUGCAACUGACGCUGAGACUCGAAAGCAUGGGUAGCGAACAGGAUUAGAUACCCCUGGUAGGAUAGCG
Molecule: ribosomal RNA, 473 nt
Filed under: uncultured bacterium
Lineage: Bacteria
Description: bacterial SSU rRNA
Rfam family: Bacterial small subunit ribosomal RNA
Source: RNAcentral